This 429-nucleotide ribosomal RNA is filed under the name Chloroflexota bacterium. Its description in RNAcentral is "Chloroflexi bacterium partial 16S ribosomal RNA". It matches the Rfam family "Bacterial small subunit ribosomal RNA", at positions 355 to 776 of the family's 1533-position model. The record is from RNAcentral. Lineage: Bacteria; Bacillati; Chloroflexota.
UGGGGAAUAUUGCACAAUGGGCGCAAGCCUGAUGCAGCCAUGCCGCGUGUGUGAAGAAGGCCUUCGGGUUGUAAAGCAUUUUCAGCGGGGAGGAAGGCGGUGAGGUUAAUAACCUCAUCGAUUGACGUUACCCGCAGAAGAAGCACCGGCUAACUCCGUGCCAGCAGCCGCGGUAAUACGGAGGGUGCAAGCGUUAAUCGGAAUUACUGGGCGUAAAGCGCACGCAGGCGGUCUGUCAAGUCGGAUGUGAAAUCCCCGGGCUCAACCUGGGAACUGCAUUCGAAAAUAGCAGGCUAGAAGCUUGUAGAAGGGGGUAGAAUACCAGGUGUAGCGGUGGAAUGCGUAGGGAUCUGGAGGAAUACCGGUGGCGGAGGCGGCCCCCUGGACAAAGACUGACGCUCAGGUGCGAAAGCGUGGGGAGCAAACAGG